UGGGCAGCCUCGGAUGAACUGUUAGCAUU
Molecule: non-coding RNA, 29 nt
Filed under: Rattus norvegicus (Norway rat)
Lineage: Eukaryota; Metazoa; Chordata; Mammalia; Rodentia; Muridae
Source: RNAcentral